This 52-nucleotide microRNA precursor is filed under the name Ailuropoda melanoleuca (giant panda). RNAcentral's name for it is "mir-1302 microRNA precursor family". It matches the Rfam family "mir-1302 microRNA precursor family". The record is from Rfam by way of RNAcentral. Lineage: Eukaryota; Metazoa; Chordata; Mammalia; Carnivora; Ursidae. RNAcentral also lists the same sequence under 1 other name.
CUUUUAGUAUAAGUAUGUUUCAUGCGAUAUUGGGGACUUACUUAUACUAAAA